Molecule: long non-coding RNA, 511 nt
Organism: Pristis pectinata (smalltooth sawfish)
Lineage: Eukaryota; Metazoa; Chordata; Chondrichthyes; Rhinopristiformes; Pristidae
Exons: 3
Source: RefSeq, a predicted model, not a curated record
CCAGUUUCGGGAGGAGAGCCUGUUGCUGGAUUCACCAGGCCAAGCCAUGGCACUUAAUGGUGAUCGUGGGGUGUUUGUUUCUUGCAGUAUCUUACGCUCCUGUUAAAAUUGGAAGUAUAUUUAGUCUACUAAAGGAUUGACGAAUAUUGAUUCAAUCAAGAUUGGCCACUUCCACUAAUGAACAUUAUGUUUAAAGUGAUAACAUUUUGCAGCCAUGAAUUCAUUAAGGAUUCCAAGACCAACGACUUGAAACACUAAUUGAUGGAAUUUGUAGCUAACAUACCACAGCAAGAAAAAAGCAUGUAACAUCUCUUUUCCUCAUACAUAUUUGCAAAUUUCUUUAAUGUCAAGUAUAUCUGCCAGUGAUCAACUGAAUUCAUGAAAUGCUCAAAAUACUGCAUUAAAGUCUUACUGUUUAAUACACAAGUGGAAACAAGAAUGAGAUAAUCUUCUAUUCCUUACAGAAGACAAGAUAUUCUUUACAUUUAACCUCAAGGCAGAAAAUGAACUA